RNAcentral lists this unclassified non-coding RNA (376 nucleotides) under soil metagenome. Its description in RNAcentral is "partial contains 5.8S ribosomal RNA, internal transcribed spacer 2, and large subunit ribosomal RNA". The stretch from base 1 to 120 matches the Rfam family "5.8S ribosomal RNA", at positions 35 to 154 of the family's 154-position model. The record is from RNAcentral.
GAUGAAGAACGUAGUGAAAUGCGAUAAGUAAUGUGAAUUGCAGAAUUCAGUGAAUCAUCGAAUCUUUGAACGCAUCUUGCGCUCCUUGGUAUUCUGAGGAGCAUGCCUGUUUGAGUGUCCUUAAAUUCUCAACUACACUGACUUUGAAUUGGUGUGGCUUGGAUUUGGGGGGAAAAUUGUUGUGGGCUUUUUGUAUAGUCUGCUCCCCUGAAAUUGAUUAGCGGUACCUUUGUGGAACUGUCUACAGGUGUGAUAAUUAUCUACAUCUUAGCCAUCUGCUGGAAUGCUGCUUUCUAAACCUUACUUGUAUUGACGAUCUUGACCUCAAAUCAGGUAGGACUACCCGCUGAACUUAAGCAUAUCAAUAAGCGGAGGA